RNAcentral lists this ribosomal RNA (791 nucleotides) under uncultured soil bacterium. Its description in RNAcentral is "bacterial SSU rRNA". It matches the Rfam family "Bacterial small subunit ribosomal RNA", at positions 8 to 795 of the family's 1533-position model. The record is from RNAcentral.
AGAGUUUGAUCCUGGCUCAGAGCGAACGCUGGCGGCGUGCUUAACACAUGCAAGUCGAACGCGCAGCAUUCUGUAGCAAUACGGGGUGUGGGCGCGUGGCGAACGGGUGCGUAACACGUGGAUAACCUUCCUUCAGGUGGGGAAUAACCCAGUGAAAAUUGGGCUAAUACCGCAUAACAUGACGAUGGCACAUGCUGUUGUCUUCAAAGGCGCAAGCCGCCAGAAGAGGGAUCCGCGGCCGAUUAGCUUGUUGGCGAGGUAAUGGCUCACCAAGGCAUUGAUCGGUAGCCGGACUGAGAGGUUGACCGGCCACACUGGAACUGAGACACGGUCCAGACUCCUACGGGAGGCAGCAGUGGGGAAUCUUGCACAAUGGACGAAAGUCUGAUGCAGCAACGCCGCGUGGGGGAUGAAGCUUCUCGGAGUGUAAACCCCUUUCGACCCGGAAGAAUGCCCGCAAGGGCUUGACGGUACGGGUAUAAGAAGCCCCGGCUAACUACGUGCCAGCAGCCGCGGUAAUACGUAGGGGGCCAGCGUUGCUCGGAAUUACUGGGCGUAAAGGGUCCGUAGGCGGUGCGGCAAGUCGAGAGUGAAAUCCCUAGGCUUAACCUAGGGGCUGCUAGCGAAACUGCCGUGCUAGAGUGUGAGAGAGGCGAGUGGAAUUACGGGUGUAGCGGUGAAAUGCGUAGAUAUCCGUAGGAACAUCCGAGGCGAAAGCGGCUCGCUGGAUCACAACUGACGCUGAGAGACGAAAGCUAGGGGAGCAAACAGGAUUAGAUACCCUGGUAGUC